UCUUUCUUGUCGGAGUGCCCAGUAUUUAUCUCUGUGAUAAAUCGGGCUGAGACCGUUAAUUCGGGAUCCGCGGAACCUGAUCGGGUUAGUACCCGCGAAGGGAACAAGAGUAAUCUUUCC
RNAcentral lists this non-coding RNA (120 nucleotides) under Morganella morganii. RNAcentral describes it as "TPP sequence". It matches the Rfam family "TPP riboswitch aptamer (THI element)". Rfam says of the family: Vitamin B(1) in its active form thiamin pyrophosphate (TPP) is an essential coenzyme that is synthesised by coupling of pyrimidine and thiazole moieties in bacteria. The previously detected thiamin-regulatory element, thi box was extended, resulting in a new, highly conserved RNA secondary structure, the THI element, which is widely distributed in eubacteria and also occurs in some archaea. The record is from RNAcentral. Lineage: Bacteria; Pseudomonadati; Pseudomonadota; Gammaproteobacteria; Enterobacterales; Morganellaceae. RNAcentral also lists the same sequence under 1 other name.